CGAACGGGUGAGUAACACGUGGGCAAUCUGCCCUGCACUCUGGGACAAGCCCUGGAAACGGGGUCUAAUACCGGAUAUUACUGUCGCAGGCAUCUGUGAUGGUGGAAAGCUCCGGCGGUGCAGGAUGAGCCCGCGGCCUAUCAGCUUGUUGGUGGGGUGAUGGCCUACCAAGGCGACGACGGGUAGCCGGCCUGAGAGGGCGACCGGCCACACUGGGACUGAGACACGGCCCAGACUCCUACGGGAGGCAGCAGUGGGGAAUAUUGCACAAUGGGCGAAAGCCUGAUGCAGCGACGCCGCGUGAGGGAUGACGGCCUUCGGGUUGUAAACCUCUUUCAGCAGGGAAGAAGCGCAAGUGACGGUACCUGCAGAAGAAGCACCGGCUAACUACGUGCCAGCAGCCGCGGUAAUACGUAGGGUGCGAGCGUUGUCCGGAAUUAUUGGGCGUAAAGAGCUCGUAGGCGGCUUGUCGCGUCGGAUGUGAAAGCCCGGGGCUUAACUCCGGGUCUGCAUUCGAUACGGGCAGGCUAGAGUUCGGUAGGGGAGAUCGGAAUUCCUGGUGUAGCGGUGAAAUGCGCAGAUAUCAGGAGGAACACCGGUGGCGAAGGCGGAUCUCUGGGCCGAUACUGACGCUGAGGAGC
This 641-nucleotide ribosomal RNA is filed under the name Streptomyces sp. I13A-01644. Its description in RNAcentral is "bacterial SSU rRNA". It matches the Rfam family "Bacterial small subunit ribosomal RNA", at positions 99 to 754 of the family's 1533-position model. The record is from RNAcentral. RNAcentral also lists the same sequence under 1 other name. Lineage: Bacteria; Bacillati; Actinomycetota; Actinomycetes; Kitasatosporales; Streptomycetaceae.